This 301-nucleotide ribosomal RNA is filed under the name uncultured bacterium. Its description in RNAcentral is "partial 16S ribosomal RNA". It matches the Rfam family "Bacterial small subunit ribosomal RNA", at positions 509 to 807 of the family's 1533-position model. The record is from RNAcentral.
CAGCCGCCGCGGUAAUACGUAGGUGGCAAGCGUUGUCCGGAAUUAUUGGGCGUAAAGGGCUCGCAGGCGGUUUCUUAAGUCUGAUGUGAAAGCCCCCGGCUCAACCGGGGAGGGUCAUUGGAAACUGGGAAACUUGAGUGCAGAAGAGGAGAGUGGAAUUCCACGUGUAGCGGUGAAAUGCGUAGAGAUGUGGAGGAACGCCAGUGGCGAAGGCGACUCUCUGGUCUGUAACUGACGCUGAGGAGCGAAAGCGUGGGGAGCGAACAGGAUUAGAUACCCGAGUAGUCCCUGUCUCUUAUAC